Molecule: non-coding RNA, 6564 nt
Organism: Podarcis lilfordi (Lilford's wall lizard)
Lineage: Eukaryota; Metazoa; Chordata; Lepidosauria; Squamata; Lacertidae
Source: the annotation of a GenBank genome assembly
GUGGGGAGCAGCAAGGGCAGCCCUUUGGCUAUCCCCCAGCUGCAUAUGUUUCACUGUCUGUCCUGGCUAUCAUACACAAUCCUGUUGCCCUCAGAUGCAGUGGAAGAUUGAACACCAUCCCAUCAACACUGCUGAAGUAAGAUUCAAGUGCUAGUCCACUUGGCUUCUGCACAUGGUAUGGACAGAGGAGGGGUGCCAUCUUAUGCACAACCUCGGGGGGUGGGAAAUGCAUUGUGUUGCAGAACCAUUUCUCUUUGUGUUGUGUGUUAAAAUAUAUAUUGUCAGCUGCCAUGAGCUCCGGAGAUGUGGUAGGAUAUAAAUCCAAUCAGGGGUUCCCAAACUGUUCUGCAGACCACCAGUGGUCCACAGGCUUUAUUCAGGCUCAUCACAUUGAAUUUAGCACAGCGCAUUACAAUUGCUACAACAGGCAGAAAAAUAAUUAAGUUGUUCAAACAAAUCCCUCAGCAAUUUUCAAGUGGUCCAUGGCAGGGAACAUUUGGUCACUACUGAUCUAAACUGUAAAAAAUGCAAGCAUUUGGAAAAGAGUACUGGCAGGGCCAGCCCACACAUAGGGCAAGGUGAGGCAACCGCCUCCAGAGGCAGAAUCCACAGGGAUAGCAGAUCCAGCCUCCAAGGAAUGCAUUGCCUGCUGUCACUGCCACAAGUGGUGCAGGAUCUGCCUCUCCAGCAGCACCCCCAAUGCCAUCUCUACAACAGUCUAUUGAGGAGUAGGAGGGAUUGCUGGCUUCCUUGUUCUCAAUGUAGAUCUUUAGUCUCCCCUUGUUCCUGAUGUAGAUUUUGUGGUUUGCCUCAGGUGCCAACCUGUCUUGGGCCAGCUCUGGGAACUGGAUUGGAUGGAGAAUCAAAUUUCUACUACCAGAGCGAUUUGAGAAGGGAGGGGAAGUCAUUCUCAGUUUGAUUCCCAUCAGGGUUAAAGGAAUUAGCUCCAGUGUAGUAAUUUGAACAUUCAAAUCAAGAUUUCUUUUGAAAUUAUUUAUCUGAUCCUCAAGGGUGUCUUGAACAUUAGACACAUAUUAGUUAAUUUAUACUCCAUAAAGCUUAACAUCCUCAUUUUGUACAGUUUUUCUAAUCAUAUUACUCAUCUCCUGAUAUUUAUAGUCUUUUACAAGAUAAUUUUAGGAAGAUAAGAAUCAAAAUCUCUAGUGCUUUUUAGGAUCUUAUUUAAUCUCAUUUAUGAAUGCAUGCAGUUUCCUCCCAGUCCUUAAUCAACAUGCAGUAGUGUGUUAGAAGUAUUUUCAAUAAAGCUUCCACAGUUACAUUUUAAUUGUUCACUGGUAAAUAGAAAUUAGACUUAAGACAUUUACGGUAAUUACGAAGAAAUACCCUUUCUGUCACCUAUCUAUGUAGACUGUUAGUAGGGAGUGUUUUGAGUGCACUGCAAGGUUUUAGAGGAAAAUAAUCAGAGUGAAGAACCCAGCCAUUGAGACUGCAGUCCCGUAUAUCCUUAUCUAGGAAUAAGCAUAACUGAGCUUACUUCUGAGUAGAUGUGUAUAUAAUUGUUCUGAGAGUUGUUUCUGACCUACUAUUAUUAGUUUCAUAUAUGAACUGCUUCCCAGGAUGCAUCUUGAUCUCAAAGUGACUUUACAAUACUAUAUAUAUAUAUAUAUAUAUAUAUAUAUAUAUAUAUAUACACCAACUGCAUUUAGGGAAGAAGUUGCAUAUAAAAACAAUUGCAUAUAUAAAAACAAUUUCAAAUCUAAUAAAGAUAGCAAUUGGGAUAAAAAUUUCCACUUAGAAGGCUUGUUGAAAGAGAAUAAUCUUUAGCAGGUGCUAAAAAGACAAUAGAGAUGGUGCCUGUCUGAUAGACCAAAGGCCUGAUUCUGGCACAGUUCGGAACAGACAUCCUGAUAAGAUGGUAUCUGUAGGACGCCCUCCUGCAAAGCACAGUGAUCAGUUGACUAUGCAUUUCUUGACACCCCACCCAGGGCCAGGGAUUAUUGACCCAUUCGCUGCUACUUUAGUACUCAGAGAUAGUUGGAGGACUGUGAUUGAAGUGCACAGCACACCUUCCUGUUAACAAGCAGAUUUAAUGAACAUUGAUUAGAAUACAUACCAAGUCAAUAGUGGUCAGAACUGAUUGUGCUCAAUUAAAAGGGGGAGGGGAGAAAACAGAUCAAAUAAGAAAUGCCCAAAGUUUUAAGCACCUAUUCUUGCAAACCACGAAGGGCCAGCCAAUCCAAAUUAUGAAUACCACUACUCCAUGUUCUUGGUUCUGCAGAGACACUGUACAUUCACACUUGCAUUUGAAUAUCGUUUAUUCUACAAGUAACGAGGCACCUUGCCCUUUGUUUGCCAUUCAAAUUCUAGCUCUAAUAGCUUUUUGUUUGCAUUUUGCAGGGGACGGCAUAAUCUUUGGGUAUGACUAGUAAUUUUAAUAUGCUGUUUAUGAGAAAAGAAGGCAGAGUGCCUAGCAUAAUCUGUAACCUGCCUCUGUUUGUGCUCCACUUCCAGAUUUCCUUUGAAGAAUCUCGUACUUCUUUUGACCUGUGUCAAAGUCUCAGAUUAUUGCUGUUUCUGGCUGUUGCUCACCCACCUCUUCCCCUGUCAAGAAGUCUUACUGCCAAAGUAAAUUUGUGCUUCCUCCUGCCAGACACUUUACCUAAUUUUGUCUCAGAGCCUUGGCUACUUCACAACCCUGGCUCACAACCCCAUACCCCUUCAGCACACUACAUCAACUUUAUUGUGGGUGGGUAUUGAUGCACAGAUGCAAUUGCCCAAAUUCAUCGAUUGUUAAGAAAAUCAAAGACCCUGAACCUGCAAUUCCGCCACUCCUGCUACUCAUGCACACAUGGAAAUAUUCCAUUGAAUGUCCCAUUUAGGUGGAAAUAAUCUAAAAUUCAAUCUAUUCUACACCUCCACCGUAGACAGAAAAUCGGUCUGUCUACAUUUUCUGUUCCUGCAUUUCGGCAUUGUCCCAUGUGGACACACCACCACCCUUAUAUGCACAAAAAGUGUUUGAGCAACGACAAUGGAGACGUGCUGAUCUAAAAUUAUAACAAGGACGGCUUUAUCAAGAAUCAUCUUUGUGCUCCCUUCAGUCCCAUUUCAACAACUUAAAUAACUGCUCUGUUUUGUAAUUGGUGCUGUUAAAAUGUCAUGAACUGAUCAGACCUGAUCGUGUUGCCUAGUAGCUUUCAGAAGACGGAGUGCUGAUUGGAAUCUUUCUGUGUGGUUUUGAAGGAAGCCACUCCUGGUUAAAGAGAGAGUUCUAUGAAAGCUUCCUUAGGAACCGGGAGAACAGAACUAAGGGGCAUAUAAUACUGAUUUCAGGUAAGUAAUGCAGAUGCAAAGAUGUGCCUCGUUACAUUAACAAACUGCAACAACUAAAAGCCAUCCGCGUGUAGUCAAACGAUCUCCUUUCUCAAAUUUUGACUUCUGCCUUGUGGAUAGAUUGACCAGCAGUCUACAGAUGACGCACUAAAGAUUAAAAUGCAAACUAAGAGCUAGUUCUCAUCGCAUUUUGUCAUAACGUAACAGGUGCAGCACUAAACGUGUGCUUCACUUUUGAGGGUAGAAAAAGAGACGUGGAAUUUCUGCCGUGCAAGACUGAACCUGCUACGAUGCAAGCAGAAAUGGCACUGAAAGGGAACACAAACAUUAAGCUCAAAAUGGCUUGUUCUGAAAGGGUUGCCUUAUGUUAAUACAGUAGUUUAAAAAUGAAAUUACAUGCAUUAGGCUGGCACAAAAAUGUGGCUGUUGUCUAAUAUGUAACAGUAGCAAUUAAUAACAGAACACCUGGCACCUUGACUAUUAUUCUGCUGCCAGCUCUGACAUUUCUAAUAGCAUUAUGUGGUUGCUGGGGUGUUUGGUUGCUUUAAAAAAAUGCGUUUUGUACUUUUGUUUUGUUUUUCAUUGGGAACAAGUAGAUCCUGCAACAAAACAUUGCCGUAUCCUUUGUCAGAAUUUCAGCCAUGUCCUUUUCCGAAAUGCUGAAUUCCUUUUCCCUUUCCUAGUUUUUCUUUUCCCUCAUCAAUAGUUGGUCAGCAUUUUGUGGCCAUUGAGAAUGCUCAGUUCCUAUCAGGAUGGGGUUUUUUUUGGGGGGGGGGGUCUUUCCCUUAUGUUUUUUCCCCCAUGUAGGAUGUUUUGUACUGCCAUCUUGGGGUUUCUCUGACACAGUGAUACCUGCCUCUUGUGUGUGGAUGAUGCCAUUUUAAUUACAAAAUGAUCCACGCCAAUUCACAAAGUGUGGAAACCAGAGGAUGGUUACGAUGUAGUCACCCAGUGAAACUGAUUGGUGGAUUAGGGACAGACAAGUGAAAGUACAUUUUAAAAGCCACCCACAAUUUCUCCUCCCAAUUUCCCCUCUCUCCGCCUUUGAGAGGCAGAUCUAAACCAUCCUCCCAGGUACCAUAUGAUCACAGCUUUAGUUGGUCACUUCUGCAAGCAGAUUGCUGGUCUGGAUUUGGUAAAGUCAUGUGAUAUGACUUUGUGUUUGCUUCUGACAUGUGACCCGUGUCAUUUUUAUGAAGACGGAAACUACCAAGCCAAACAGAUCCAAGUCGUGUCGGGCCUGAGUUAUUAUAACAUCACACAAGAAUAAUAGAAUCACAGAACCAUAUAAUUUUACAUUUGGAAUGGACCCUGAUUAUCAUCUAAUGCAGGAGUCAGCAAACUUUUUCAGCAGGGGGCCGGUCCGCUGUCCCUCAGACCUUGUGGGGGGCCGGACUAUAUGGGGGUGUGUGUGAAUGAACGAAUACCUAUGCCCCACAAAAUAACCCAGAGAUGCAUUUUAAUUAAAAGCACACAUUCUACUCAUGUAAAAACACGCUGAUUCCUGGACCGUCCGCAGGCCAGAUUGAGAAGGCGAUUGGGCCGGAUCCGGCCCCCAGGCCUUAGUUUGCCUACCCAUGAUUUAAUUAUACAACCCCCUGUCAUAGUAUGACAAAGCUCCUAUUCUCUUUUGUAUAGGCAAGCAACAUACUAAAAGUGAUCUGCAUCUUUGCUGAGAGUAAAAAAAUUAACCUUGAUGAGACGUAAUGCAUAUAGACUUCCUUGCCAUUAGGAGAUUUUAAAGGACUGAAGCGUACUAAGCAGUUCCUCCCCUUUUCCCACACGCCCCUUGCCAAGUCCAGGGCUUUUAUUUCAUUUGUAUCUAUGAUGUAGUCUAGCAAGCCCCAUUAAGGGAACGAUAUUGCCUAUUCAACAGCAUGAAUCUUCCCUGUGUCACUAGACCUUGACCAGCUCAUUAUUAGUGGAAUGGAGCCAGGGAGAGAGACAGAGUGUUUUCUCAAACAUGUGAGGCGAGUGCGUCAGAGCUGUGGAGCAGGCUAUUAACAGGGGUUUGUCCUUUGGUGAGGACCUCCUUUCCUCUCCGGCAGCUUUCUGAGCUGAACUUAAGACCCUUAUUACAGAUUCAUGAAUGAAUGAUUUUGAUUUAUUUUGGCAGCGUCUGGAAGCAUCACAGUCCCGUGGAAGCAAGAACAACCAGCCAUUUGUGCAAAAUAAGAAUGUCAUUAGAAUGCACCUUUUAGCAGAUCAGCAUUAAGCAGUAGAGAAAAACAGCAACCAAGGCCCAGAAGAUUGUUUUUUGUGUCUUUGUUAUGUGUAAACAGAUCAGGUCUUAGCUUAGCAUUCCUUGAAAUGGUUACCUAUAUCAUGUGGUAAAUUCAAAUUUACUCAAAUAUACAGUGGUACCUCGGGUUACAGACGCUUCAGGUUACAGACUCCGCUAACCCAGAAAUAGUACCUUGGGUUAAGAACUUUGCUUCUGGGAUGAAACGGUGAAAUCAGCUAUGAUCAAAUGGGCACAAGAUGUUGGACAUAACAUAAUGAUGGCUGACUGGGAACAGUUAUGGACCACAGGUAUGAAGUUUAUGGCAUGUAAUGCUUUAAGAGAAAAUAGUAUGAAAAUGAUAUACAGGUGGUACAUGACACCUGUCAAGCUUGCAAAAAUCUAUCAUUUGCCCGAUAAUAAAUGUUGGAAAUGUAAAGAAACUGAAGGUACAUUCUUUCACCUUUGGUGGACGUGCCCAAGGAUUAAGGUUUCUGGGAGAUGAUUUAUAAUGAAUUGAAAAAGAUAUUUAAAUAUACCUUCUUGAAGAAACCAGAGGCCUUUCUCCUGGGCAUAGUCGGCCAAUUGGUGUUAAAGAAGGAUAGAACUUUCUUUAUGUAUGCUACAACAGCAGCAAGAAUACUUAUUGCAAAGUAUUGGAAGACACAAGAUCUACCCACUCUGGAAGAAUGGCAGAUGAAGGUGAUGGACUACAUGGAAUUGGCGGAAAUGACUGGCAGAAUCCGAGACCAGGGAGAAGAGUCGGUGGAAGAAGAUUGGAAGAAAUUUAAAGACUAUUUACAGAAAUAUUGCAAAAUUAAUGAAUGUUAGAAUGAUGUUAGAAUGAUGUUAGGUGGUUUAAGCAGUAAUGCUAUAAAGGUGUUUGUAAAAAAGGAUUGAUAACAGGUGAAAAAUUAAAGUCAUAGUAAAUUAAGCUAAAGGAUCAUGAGAAAAUAAAGAGGGAAAGAAAUUGCUGAAUUAACUAAUUGAACUGGAAUACAAAAAAGGGAGGUAUGAGGAGGUCAGGGAAAUAAGGAUAUGAAUGUAAGGUA